This is a long non-coding RNA of Anthonomus grandis grandis, 316 nucleotides long. RefSeq lists it as uncharacterized. NCBI's taxonomy places the organism in Eukaryota, Metazoa, Arthropoda, Insecta, Coleoptera, Curculionidae. The record is from RefSeq and is a predicted model, not a curated record. The transcript is spliced from 2 exons.
GUCGCUCGUUGGUUGACGAGUAAAUACCGAGCCAACCGUAACACACCGAACGAAACAAUACAUUGCUCUUUAAAGAAAAUGGCCUUUGAAUUACCUUUUUUGGUGACGCUGAUAAGGGCUGAUUUACAGGGCUCUUUAUUAGCGGCUCCGUUCCGGUGCUGCUACUCCACCCUAUCUCCUGGGAUGGAGCGAAGGCAUAACGAAAAUUAAAAAGGCAACAUCAAAAACAGGACCGGAUUUAGUCAAAGUGGUUAUUUUAAUAUAGGGAUUAGAUGGAUAUGUUAUUUGGUAAAAAUUCAGUUAUAUUAAAAGUUAA